This 468-nucleotide ribosomal RNA is filed under the name uncultured bacterium. RNAcentral describes it as "partial 16S ribosomal RNA". It matches the Rfam family "Bacterial small subunit ribosomal RNA", at positions 28 to 507 of the family's 1533-position model. The record is from RNAcentral.
GACGAACGCUGGCGGCGUGCUUAACACAUGCAAGUCGAACGGAAAGGCCCUGCUUUUGUGGUGUGCCCGAGUGGCGAACGGGUGCGUAACACGUGAGUAACCUGCUCUUGACUUUGGGAUAACUUCAGGAAACUGGGGCUAAUACCGUAUAGGAGCUCCUGCUGCAUGGUGGGGGUUGGAAAGUUUCGGCGGUUGGGGAUGGACUCGCGGCUUAUCAGCUUGUUGGUGGGGUAGUGGCUUACCAAGGCUUUGACGGGUAGCCGGCCUGAGAGGGUGACCGGCCACCUUGGGACUGAGGUACGGACCAGACUCCUACGGUAGGCAGCAGUGGGGAAUAUUGCACAAUGGGCGGAAGCCUGAUGCAGCAACGCCGCGUGCGGGAUGACGGCCUUCGGGUUGUAAAACGCUUUCGCCUGUGACGAAGCGUGAGUGACGGUAAUGGGUAAAGAAGCACCGGCUAACUACGUG